GUCUUGCACGGUAGUAGGAUUAUGUGAGGGGAAGAAAAUAUGGAGGAUAUUAUCUCUUGGUGGGAAGCUCAGCGUGAGGUGGAGCUUCAGAAGCUAGUGAGAGCCCAGUGUGAGGUGGAGCUCCAGGAAUAGGUGGAUGGGCACGAGAUGAGGACUCAGAAGGAUGAUAGGCAACAUCACAAGGUGAAAUUUCUAUUAUUGUAGGAGGCUACCU
This 214-nucleotide long non-coding RNA is filed under the name Elaeis guineensis (African oil palm). RNAcentral's name for it is "long non-coding RNA (EGUI_LNC057272)". Lineage: Eukaryota; Viridiplantae; Streptophyta; Magnoliopsida; Arecales; Arecaceae. The record is from RNAcentral.